UUAUGAACUUAGUUAAUAUAUACAAAGGGCAAACAAACACAUAUUGGGGCAGAUACACUACUCACUGAUAGACAAUGCCAGUGGUUGGUACAAUAGCUGCACUAAACCCAUCUCAAGUAAUUCCUCUACAAGUAUAUUGAAUAAUUUAGUAUUUCCAAUAAAACAAUUAAGCUAACAUUUAAACUUCAAAAACACGCCAGAAAUUAGUGUAAACUACGAUCCUUAAUAAGCUCAAAAACAAGGCCAAGCAAAAUGACAUCCUACCUAACAAAAUUGAAAUAUAUUCUU
RNAcentral lists this unclassified non-coding RNA (288 nucleotides) under Hevea brasiliensis (rubber tree). Lineage: Eukaryota; Viridiplantae; Streptophyta; Magnoliopsida; Malpighiales; Euphorbiaceae. The record is from RNAcentral.